Long non-coding RNA from Oncorhynchus gorbuscha (pink salmon), 2186 nucleotides. RefSeq lists it as uncharacterized. The record is from RefSeq and is a predicted model, not a curated record. NCBI's taxonomy places the organism in Eukaryota, Metazoa, Chordata, Actinopteri, Salmoniformes, Salmonidae. The transcript has 3 exons.
CUGAAUUAUUCAGGGCAUGGAUUCUACAAGGUGUCGUAAACAUUCAUUCCUCAAUUGGCAUCAAGUGACGUGUGCCAGGAAAACAUUCCCCACAACAAUACGGCACCAGCCUGUACCGUUGACACCAGGCAGGAUGGGUCCAUGGACUCAUGCUGCUUACGCCAAAUCAUAACUCUGCCAUCAGCAUGACACAACCGGAAUUAAGAUUGGUUAGACCAGGCAAUAUUUUCCCACUCCUCAUUGUCCAGUUUUGGUGAUGGCGUGCCCACUGGAACCGCUUCUGGUUGUUUUUAGCUGAAAUGAGUGUGACCUGGUGUGGUCGUCUGCUGCAAUAGCCCAUCCUUGACAAGGACCAACAAGUUGUGCAUUCUGAGAUGCCUUUCUGCACACCACUGUUGUACUGCGCUGUUAUUUGUCUGCCUGCCUGUUAGCUUGCACAAUUAUUGCCAUUCUCCUUCAACAUCAUCAAAAAACUGUUUUCAUCCACUGGACUGCCGCUUAUGUUUGUUUUUUUGUCGUCACACCAUUCUCUGUAAACCCUAGACACUGUUGUGCAUGAAAAGCCCUGGAGCGCAGCAGUUUCUGAGAUACUAGAUCCGGUGGGCCUGAAACUCGUUUUGCCCAUUCUAUCAAACAGUAGCUGAAAGCUUGUCUGCAUGCUUUUUAUAUCAAGCCAUGGCCAAGCGACUCACUGUCUGUAGGAGUGAUACAUUUUUGUGAAUGGGGUGGUGUACAUAAUAAACUGACCGGUGAUUGUAUACCGUAUGGUGCUGAAUUUAGAGUAGUGCUGAGAAAGUGGUAGGUGAGGAGUUUUGAGGUGAACUCCCAUGUGGGGAGAAGACUGUGUGUGUAAGAGUUAAUUUAAUAAUAGUCUCAGGUAAUAACUAGAGAAAACAGGGAGUCCUUUGGAGCUGAACUGAGUACACUUCUCUUCCAGUUCAGUGGUGUUACAAGAGCCAGUACUCCUGUAACACCACUGAACUGGAAGAGAAGUGACCUACUUUUACUCCGUCACUCAUCCACCGGGUUGUCUCCCUUCCAGUGUGUCCUGGGCUACCAGCCAGCCCUGGCCCUGUGGACCCCGAGCCAGACUGAAGCCCCUGUGGUGGACGAGUGGUGCCAGAGCUGAGCUCCCAGUUUGUGGGGCCAUUCAUUGACCCGGAAGGGUAAAUGAGGUAACGUACCGAUUACAGCGCCCCACUAACAACCGGAUCUCACCCUUUUUCACGUUUCCCUCCUCAGGCUGGUGGUUUCUGGUCCCCAUGCUGAUGCUCUCCCCCACGACACCCCUCCGCCUUCCCUGGACAUUGGGGGAAGUCCCGCCUAUGCCGUCAGAUCCCUCUGGACUCCAGAUGUCGUGGGGGUCGGCUCCAGUACCUGGUAGACAGGGAGGGCUAAGUUCCCUCCUCUUCCCUGAUCAAGAGGUGAUGACCCCUCCACUCCUCUACCACUGUCAACUGUCUCCUGACAUAAACUGAAGCCAUGUCACAUGUGCCCGUUCAUCAACUGGCACACUGAAUGUUUCCUCUCCAAGUACUUGUAUUGUGUUUUGUCUUCCCAGUUAUAUCCUGUCCUGCCCUCAGUGGAAGAUUUGAGCUCUUCUCCAACACCAUCCAUCCAUGAUGAACCUGUCCUGUACUGAAGACUAUGAACACCUCAACCACUGUCCUGCACUGAGGUCAAGCCUCUGAACACCCCAACUCAUGCCUCACACCCUCAUUCAAUCACUGCUGUGAUCCAUUCCCAACACUGUAAGUACCCUCUCAUUCACAUUCCCCAUAAUAUUGUACUGUAAAUGUGUUUAUUAAAUGCUUUAGUCAAAAAUUCUUUGAUUUUUGAAACACCCACCCUUUUCAACUCUGUGUGUUCUGUGCCUAUACCGUGGGUCUCCCAUCCUCCUCAAUGUUUCAAGUCAUCAGCCUCCACUGACAGAACACAACUGUGAAGAUUUUUCACAAAUAUUAGCGUCAUAGCUCUUGCGGGACUUUAACUGGGGGAAAUUACCUCACAAUUCAGUAUUUUAAUCUAUGGAUCUUGGGUUAAUCAGCCUACUCAUUGACACCCACAGACAGUGGUGAUUUUAGCAUGUAAAUCUUGAUGCGACAAAAAAAAAAUAUCAAAAUAUGUUUUAGAUGCAUGCAGCAAAGCCACAACACUAAACAAUACAUUAAUUGCACUAUAACAGU